CCGGCCUCACGGGGAGGUUCUGGAAACGGAAGUGGCGCAGGAAAUUCCGUUUCUUCUUUCCAGGAUAACUUUGAGCGCAAGAAUCUGAACCAGUUGAUAAUGGACCCUCACAACCAUCAUCCUACUGUUUAAAUAAGCUGACUACUCUAGGUGCUUCAGCAUACACUCUACGCAAUCUUAGAAUGUGCUUUGGCAAUUUUUGGCAGACAUGUUCCAGGAAAGAAACUAUCAGCUUGGAGUCUACUAAUGUUUGCUUUUAUAUAUAAUACACUUUGUGGGAGGAAUAGAGAAUCAUAUAUAAUUCUCCAUCUUCUAGAAGUUGGCUUCAUCAGAUUCUGAACUAUAAAGUUCUAGACACCUGGCCUGAGGAAGAGGAGCUGCUCCCUGCCUGUCUCACCUGAUGGGAGGAGGCAAUGACUCAGUGCACCUGCCUGACUCCCACUUUCCUAAUGAGGAAAAGCCACUUAUCCAGAUACAAUAACCUCUCUCCGAGAGCACUUGUUCACCUUCAAUAUCUGGCCGUACAGCGAGAUAAGAACAAUGUCUGCCUCAUCCAACUCAAUUCCCAAUGCCAGCCAAACAGAAGGGCUUUGAAAAAUAUCCACUGUUGGAGCACUCACCACUCUCCUGGAACCGUUCCAGCUCCUCACUGCUCAGCUGCUUGAUGGAGGUCAUCACUGCCUUGAAGGCUCCCUUCAGGCGCUUCCCUAGGACCAUGUGAUCGGGCUCUGCCCUCAGACGAAUGCCAUACUUGUUUUUAUCCGUAGAUAAUGUAACUUUUCGAACAUUCAAUUCCUAUAGUUUUCAGACAAAAUGAAACAAAAACAAAGAUCCACAAAUUCACAUAUUUGACUGUGAAUGAAUAAAAUGUGAUAUAUCAUACGAUGGACAAUUACUUAGCAAUAUACAGGAAUAAAGCACUAACACAUGCUAUAAUAUGAAUGACCACUAAUGCUAAGUGACAGAUGUAAGAUACAAAAGACCAUCUAUGAACUGUCCAAAGUUGGGACACUCAGAGACAGAAAAUAGAUUACUGGUUGUCAGGGCAUGGUAGGACCUUGAGAGGAAAAUGUAUGUGAAUGCUAACGGACACUGGGUUUCUUUUUAAUAAAAAUUUUACAAGUUUGACAAUGAAAAUGAUAUAAAA
This is a long non-coding RNA of Talpa occidentalis (Iberian mole), 1147 nucleotides long. RefSeq lists it as uncharacterized. The transcript is spliced from 6 exons. The record is from RefSeq and is a predicted model, not a curated record. NCBI's taxonomy places the organism in Eukaryota, Metazoa, Chordata, Mammalia, Eulipotyphla, Talpidae.